Molecule: ribosomal RNA, 422 nt
Filed under: uncultured bacterium
Lineage: Bacteria
Description: partial 16S ribosomal RNA
Rfam family: Bacterial small subunit ribosomal RNA
Source: RNAcentral
AAUCUUCCGCAAUGGACGCAAGUCUGACGGAGCAACGCCGCGUGAGUGAUGAAGGUUUUCGGAUCGUAAAACUCUGUUGUUAGGGAAGAACAAGUACCGUUCGAAUAGGUCGGUACCUUGACGGUACCUAACCGAAAAGCCACGGCUAACUACGUUCCAGCACCCGCGGUAAUACGUAGGUUGCAAGCGUUAUCCUGAAUUAUUGGGCGUAAGGCGCGGCAAGGCGGUUUCUUAAGUCGGAUGUGAAAGCCCACGGCUCAACCGUGGAGGGUCAUUGGAAACUGGGGAACUUGAGUGCAGAAGAGGAGAGUGAAAUUCCAUGUGUAGCGGUGAAAUGCGUAGAGAUAUGGAGGAACACCAGUGGCGAAGGCGACUCUCUGGUCUGCAACUGACGCUGAGGCGCGAAAGCGUGGGGAGCAAAC